This is a non-coding RNA of Echria macrotheca, 145 nucleotides long. The record is from the annotation of a GenBank genome assembly. Lineage: Eukaryota; Fungi; Ascomycota; Sordariomycetes; Sordariales; Schizotheciaceae.
GACGAGGUGGCCGAGUGGUCAAAGGCGCCGGGUUGGGGUUCCUCUCCGGAGGAGCCCUGGACAAUCGACCUUGGCGAUACACGAUGCCUAGUGUUGAUUCCUGGUCCCGGAAACGGGUGCGCGAGUUCGAAUCUCGCUCUUGUCA